RNAcentral lists this transfer RNA (73 nucleotides) under Vicugna pacos (alpaca). Its description in RNAcentral is "tRNA-Ala (AGC) (tRNA-Ala-AGC-791-1)". It matches the Rfam family "tRNA". From Rfam's summary of the family: Transfer RNA (tRNA) molecules are approximately 80 nucleotides in length. Their secondary structure includes four short double-helical elements and three loops (D, anti-codon, and T loops). The record is from RNAcentral. Lineage: Eukaryota; Metazoa; Chordata; Mammalia; Artiodactyla; Camelidae.
GGAGGGUAUAGCUCAGUGGUAGAGUGUGUGCUUAGCAUGCACGAGGUCCUGGGUUCAAUCCUCAGUACCUCCA